GGGUUGUGAGGUUAAGCGACUAAGCGUACACGGUGGAUGCCCUGGCAGUCAGAGGCGAUGAAGGGCGUGCUAAUCUGCGAUAAGCGCCGGUAAGGUGAUAUGAACCGUUAUAACCGGCGAUACCCGAAUGGGGAAACCCAGUGUGACUCGUCACACUAUCAUUAACUGAAUCCAUAGGUUAAUGAGGCGAACCGGGGGAACUGAAACAUCUAAGUACCCCGAGGAAAAGAAAUCAACCGAGAUUCCCCCAGUAGCGGCGAGCGAACGGGGAGGAGCCCAGAGCCUGAAUCAGCAUGUGUGUUAGUGGAAGCGUCUGGAAAGGCGCGCGAUACAGGGUGAUAGCCCCGUACACAAAAGCGCAUGUGUUGUGAGCUCGAUGAGUAGGGCGGGACACGUGGUAUCCUGUCUGAAUAUGGGGGGACCAUCCUCCAAGGCUAAAUACUCCUGACUGACCGAUAGUGAACCAGU
RNAcentral lists this ribosomal RNA (468 nucleotides) under Salmonella enterica subsp. enterica serovar Ohio. RNAcentral describes it as "partial 23S ribosomal RNA". It matches the Rfam family "Bacterial large subunit ribosomal RNA", at positions 1 to 499 of the family's 2925-position model. Lineage: Bacteria; Pseudomonadati; Pseudomonadota; Gammaproteobacteria; Enterobacterales; Enterobacteriaceae. The record is from RNAcentral.